RNAcentral lists this ribosomal RNA (254 nucleotides) under uncultured bacterium. Its description in RNAcentral is "partial 16S ribosomal RNA". It matches the Rfam family "Bacterial small subunit ribosomal RNA", at positions 524 to 776 of the family's 1533-position model. The record is from RNAcentral.
UACGUAGGUGGCAAGCGUUGUCCGGAUUUAUUGGGUUUAAAGGGUGCGUAGGCGGCCCUGUAAGUCAGUGCUGAAAUAUCCCAGCUUAACUGGGAGGGUGGCAUUGAUACUGCGGGGCUAGAGUACAGAUGAGGUAGGCGGAAUUGACGGUGUAGCGGUGAAAUGCUUAGAUAUCGGGAGGAACACCAGUGGCGAAGGCGACUACCUGGCCUGUUUCUUGACGCUGAGGCGCGAAAGCUAGGGGAGCAAACGGG